AAAAGACUUCCACCUUUUUGGAUGUAGGAGAUUUCUAUUCUUUGCACCAUUAAUUUGAGAUUUUUUGGAUAGCUAUUUCUCUUUUGGUUUAGAUUCAAAUAGGUUGAAACUGACAUGUGUCAGCAGGCUUCAACAAGAAGACUAGAAAAUGAUGCAGAAUUAAGGAAGCACUACUUUGAAAUGUGGACUUCUUGAACCUACAGGGCACUAUAUGUAUCUAAUUACUCCUUCCUUGCAGGCUAUUGCCUUACCAACUAGGUAAAAACAAGGACAAAA
Rhododendron vialii is the source of this 276-nucleotide long non-coding RNA. RefSeq lists it as uncharacterized. The record is from RefSeq and is a predicted model, not a curated record. Lineage: Eukaryota; Viridiplantae; Streptophyta; Magnoliopsida; Ericales; Ericaceae. The transcript is spliced from 2 exons.